This 467-nucleotide ribosomal RNA is filed under the name uncultured bacterium. Its description in RNAcentral is "partial 16S ribosomal RNA". It matches the Rfam family "Bacterial small subunit ribosomal RNA", at positions 28 to 506 of the family's 1533-position model. The record is from RNAcentral.
GAUGAACGCUGGCGGCGUGCUUAACACAUGCAAGUCGAACGGUGAAGGCGGAGCUUGCUCUGCUGGAUCAGUGGCGAACGGGUGAGUAACACGUGAGCAAUCUGCCCCUGACUCUGGGAUAAGCGCUGGAAACGGCGUCUAAUACUGGAUACGAGCUGCGAAGGCAUCUUCAGCAGCUGGAAAGAACUUCGGUCAGGGAUGAGCUCGCGGCCUAUCAGCUUGUUGGUGAGGUAACGGCUCACCAAGGCGUCGACGGGUAGCCGGCCUGAGAGGGUGACCGGCCACACUGGGACAGGGACACGGCCCAGACGCCUACGGGAGGCAGCAGUGGGGAAUAUUGCACAAUGGGCGAAAGCCUGAUGCAGCAACGCCGCGUGAGGGACGACGGCCUUCGGGUGGUAAACCUCUUUUAGCAGGGAAGAAGCGAAAGUGACGGUACCUGCAGAAAAAGCGCCGGCUAACUACGU